AUCUCCGAGGAGCGUUGCAACCCUGCCAACAUAUUUGGCGGGCCAGGCUCGGAGGUUCGUGAUAUCCAGCAACGGCGCUCGCUACUA
RNAcentral lists this non-coding RNA (87 nucleotides) under Acidithiobacillales bacterium. RNAcentral's name for it is "SAH sequence". It matches the Rfam family "SAH (S-adenosyl-L-homocysteine) riboswitch aptamer". Lineage: Bacteria; Pseudomonadati; Pseudomonadota; Acidithiobacillia; Acidithiobacillales. The record is from RNAcentral.